This 91-nucleotide transfer RNA is filed under the name Dehalococcoidia bacterium. RNAcentral describes it as "tRNA-Ser". It matches the Rfam family "tRNA". From Rfam's summary of the family: Transfer RNA (tRNA) molecules are approximately 80 nucleotides in length. The record is from RNAcentral. Lineage: Bacteria; Bacillati; Chloroflexota; Dehalococcoidia.
GGAGGGGUGGCCGAGUGGACGAUGGCGGCGGUCUUGAAAACCGCUAACCGCCUAUGGUGGUUCGUGGGUUCGAAUCCCACCCCCUCCGCCA